RNAcentral lists this long non-coding RNA (855 nucleotides) under Chrysolophus pictus (golden pheasant). Its description in RNAcentral is "lncRNA (ENSCPIG00010006122.1)". Lineage: Eukaryota; Metazoa; Chordata; Aves; Galliformes; Phasianidae. The record is from RNAcentral.
UCCUUCUCUAAUUUUUCUAUUAAAAAAGAGACAUAGAAUUGUAUUUUACUAGUCACAUACACAGAAGUAGUUACUUCACUAAUUACUCAUAUGUUGGUAUGAUGAGAAAUCUAUGUUUUUUCAAGGUCAAGUAAAAUAAGCAUCUAUUUAAUGACUUCAGUACAUUUGGGUGUAUAAUUAUUGAAUAGAAGAGGAUGGAUUGUUUCAUUAAAAAUGGAAAUGCUUCAGAAGGUCUGUGAUUCAGAAGAGAGUGCAGGAGAGGCUUCAAAAGUAUUUGGGCUGAGGUUUUUAAGGAGAUAGAGAGAAGUAAUAACAUCUUGAAAGAGGAUACUAGCUCAAAACAUUAAGUACUAUGGAUAACAUGAUAUGUAUUGUCUCUUGUCAAAAUUUUGUAGGAUCGAAUGCAAACCUUUUGUGAGUAACAGACUGUCUGGGCUACUGGAAAUAGAUGAAUGGAUGAGACUGUCUGUAAUGGUGGACAUCAGCAUCUUAGGAUCAACAGAAGCAAACAUUGCAGCUGAUAACUUUUACCUUGUCUGUGGACUUGAGUGGCCUGGAGAUUUUGGAAGGAAUCAAGUGUUGGAUAUAAUGGUUCCAGAAAGUGGAAGACAGAAGUGGAUGUUGCGUUGCAUGUUGUGCUCUCAGAAAAGCAAACAUCUUAGCAGUCAUGGGCAGCAGAAGAAGUCCACUGGAAUGUGGAAACAUGCACAAGCCUUAAGAUAUGAAUAGCUGAGAUGAAGAGAAACCUUUACUGGAACACAUCACGUCAUCAGAAUCCCCUCAUUGCUCACCUUUUCAAAAACUGUUGGUUCUAGACAACAGUUGAGAAUAAAUGCUUCUAAUUCCUCCCCUGCA